Molecule: RNase P RNA, 521 nt
Filed under: Natrinema salsiterrestre
Lineage: Archaea; Methanobacteriati; Methanobacteriota; Halobacteria; Halobacteriales; Natrialbaceae
Description: RNase P RNA component
Rfam family: Archaeal RNase P (bases 145-521)
About the family: Ribonuclease P (RNase P) is a ubiquitous endoribonuclease, found in archaea, bacteria and eukarya as well as chloroplasts and mitochondria.
Source: RNAcentral
GGGAGAGAGAGCCUGGCUGCCGCGAUGGUUCCGCCGGCAACGGUGGAACCACCUCCGACCGUGCCCCAUCCUUCGGGAUGUAUCACGGCCACAACGUUGCCCGUCCCUCCGGACGCGCAACCCACUAACGUUGGCCAACCCUCCGGGUUGCCCAACGCACGCGAGGAAAGUCCCCCCACCUGUUCGGGCAGGUGACCGGACGCAAGUCCGGAGCGGGAGACCGCUGGCUCUGGAACAGAAACGACACGUCUCGGCCCGACCGAUGACGCGUGCGAACCCGACCGAGAGGAAGGGGAGUUGACCCGCAGAGGGCGUGCGGUCGACGACGCAUGGUUCGAACCCAUGGAUCACGUUCGACGUGAUCGACCGCACACAGACGGCCGAGGAGCGAUGGAACGGCGAAUCCCCACCGGUGCAAGUCCGUGCCGUGGUAGCCCGAACGCCCCGCGGCGUCGCCGCGGACGGCACGGACGCUCAGCCGAAUGCCGGGACGAACAGAAGGGGGCUUACUCCUCUCACCC